UGGUGGAUCGAUUUGUCUGGUUAAUUCCGAUAACGAACGAGACUCUUUUCUGCUAAAUAGGUGCCCAGUUUUAUGAAUUUCUUCCCUGUGUCGGGUGCGGUGCGGUUUCGGCCGUGCCGUGCCCGCGCUCGGAUCGCUGGGCACGUCAUUCUUCUUAGAGGGACAAGCGGCGUCUAGUCGCAUGAAAAAGAGCAAUAACA
RNAcentral lists this ribosomal RNA (200 nucleotides) under uncultured eukaryote. RNAcentral's name for it is "partial 18S ribosomal RNA". It matches the Rfam family "Eukaryotic small subunit ribosomal RNA", at positions 1299 to 1458 of the family's 1831-position model. The record is from RNAcentral.